RNAcentral lists this ribosomal RNA (363 nucleotides) under uncultured Bacteroidota bacterium. RNAcentral's name for it is "bacterial SSU rRNA". It matches the Rfam family "Bacterial small subunit ribosomal RNA", at positions 1020 to 1382 of the family's 1533-position model. The record is from RNAcentral. Lineage: Bacteria; Pseudomonadati; Bacteroidota.
CUUCGGACAUUUUGCAAGGUGCUGCAUGGUUGUCGUCAGCUCGUGCCGUGAGGUGUCGGGUUAAGUCCCAUAACGAGCGCAACCCUAUUGUUAGUUGCCAUCAGGUCAUGCUGGGGACUCUAACAAAACUGCCCGCGUAAGGCGUGGAGGAAGGUGGGGAUGACGUCAAAUCAGCACGGCCCUUACGUCCAGGGCUACACACGUGCUACAAUGGCCGGUACAGAGGGCAGCCACUUGGUGACAAGGAGCAAAUCUCAAAAGCCGGUCUCAGUUCGGAUCGGAGUCUGCAACUCGACUCCGUGAAGUUGGAUUCGCUAGUAAUCGUAGAUCAGCAAUGCUACGGUGAAUACGUUCCCGGGCCUU